RNAcentral lists this ribosomal RNA (253 nucleotides) under uncultured bacterium. RNAcentral's name for it is "partial 16S ribosomal RNA". It matches the Rfam family "Bacterial small subunit ribosomal RNA", at positions 524 to 776 of the family's 1533-position model. The record is from RNAcentral.
GACAGAGGUGCCAAGCGUUAGGCGGAAUCACUGGGCUUAAAGCGUGUGUAGGCGGAUCGUUAAGUACCUUGUGAAAUCCCACGGCUCAACCGUGGAACUGCUGGGUAUACUGGCGAUCUUGAGCCACCUAGGGGCGAGCGGAACAAGCGGUGGAGCGGUGAAAUGCGUAGAUAUCGCUUGGAACGCCAAUGGUGAAAACAGCUCGCUGGGGGUGUGCUGACGCUGAGACACGAAAGCCAGGGGAGCAAACGGG